GCCUGGGUGGCUCAGUUAGUUAAGCGUCUGGCUUUGGCUCAGGUCAUGAUCUCAUGGUUCGUGGGUUCGAGUCCUACAUCAGGCU
RNAcentral lists this transfer RNA (85 nucleotides) under Felis catus (domestic cat). It matches the Rfam family "tRNA". Rfam says of the family: Transfer RNA (tRNA) molecules are approximately 80 nucleotides in length. Their secondary structure includes four short double-helical elements and three loops (D, anti-codon, and T loops). Further hydrogen bonds mediate the characteristic L-shaped molecular structure. tRNAs have two regions of fundamental functional importance: the anti-codon, which is responsible for specific mRNA codon recognition, and the 3' end, to which the tRNAs corresponding amino acid is attached (by aminoacyl-tRNA synthetases). tRNAs cope with the degeneracy of the genetic code in two manners: having more than one tRNA (with a specific anti-codon) for a particular amino acid; and 'wobble' base-pairing, i.e. permitting non-standard base-pairing at the 3rd anti-codon position. Lineage: Eukaryota; Metazoa; Chordata; Mammalia; Carnivora; Felidae. The record is from Rfam by way of RNAcentral.